GUCUAUGACCAAAUCACCCAGAAUGUGUCCUACCUCGUCAGAUCUCGGUAUCGCAGCAGGCUUGAGCCUGGAUAAUAUUUGAAUGGGUGAACACUAUGCAUGCCAGGGUGUGAUAGGCA
Molecule: ribosomal RNA, 119 nt
Filed under: Petromyzon marinus (sea lamprey)
Lineage: Eukaryota; Metazoa; Chordata; Hyperoartia; Petromyzontiformes; Petromyzontidae
Source: RNAcentral